CAGAGUUGUAAAACUCCCAAACCACUGUAAACUGUACCCAACCUUGCUUCGGCGGGGGCUCCCCAGAGGGAGCCGCGCCCCCUUAGGCCACGGGGGCAGCCCGCCAGAAGGCUACUAAACUAUAUUAUCAUUGGCAUCUCUGAGGCAUUAUAAAAUGAAUCA
This 162-nucleotide unclassified non-coding RNA is filed under the name uncultured fungus. Its description in RNAcentral is "sequence contains ITS1". The record is from RNAcentral. Lineage: Eukaryota; Fungi.